GCACCAGUGGUCUAGUGGUAGAAUAGUACCUCCCCAUGAUACAGAUCGGGGUUCGAUUCUCGGUUGGUGCA
This 71-nucleotide transfer RNA is filed under the name Ipomoea nil (Japanese morning glory). It matches the Rfam family "tRNA". From Rfam's summary of the family: Transfer RNA (tRNA) molecules are approximately 80 nucleotides in length. Lineage: Eukaryota; Viridiplantae; Streptophyta; Magnoliopsida; Solanales; Convolvulaceae. The record is from Rfam by way of RNAcentral.